UCUGGGUGUGGUGGUGCAUGCCUGUAAUCCCAGCAACUUGGGAGGCUGAGGCAGGAGGAUCGCAAGUUCACAACCAGCCUCAGCAAAAGCAAGGCUUGCUAAGCAACUCAGUGAGACCCUGUCUCUA
Molecule: small RNA, 127 nt
Filed under: Marmota monax (woodchuck)
Lineage: Eukaryota; Metazoa; Chordata; Mammalia; Rodentia; Sciuridae
Source: RNAcentral